Molecule: long non-coding RNA, 772 nt
Filed under: Panicum hallii
Lineage: Eukaryota; Viridiplantae; Streptophyta; Magnoliopsida; Poales; Poaceae
Description: long non-coding RNA (PHAL_LNC000442)
Source: RNAcentral
GAGAAACCCGCGACCGCGACCGCCGAACCCACGGCGCCCGCCGCGGGCGACGGCCUAUAUAAACCGCGCGCACAGCACCCUCCUGCUCCCUCAUCCCAGCAUCGCAGCACACACACCGCGCGCCCCGCCGCCGCCAGAGCAGAGUCCGCUUCGCGCUACUAGCAGGUUUCAAGCUCUCUCUCGGCCCCGAUGGCUCCCCGCGCCGCCGCCGCCGCCGUGCUGCUCCUCGCCGUGGCCAUGCUCGCCGCCUGCGCGUCCGCGCAGGAGUUCACCACGGCGCCCUCGUCCGCGCCCGCGCCCGCGCCGGUCGCCGGGGCGGCGUCUGCUCCGGCGGCCUCCGCCGUGGCCGUGGCGUCGUCCGCGCUGGUAUCCCUGCUCGUGGCCGCGCUGAUGCAGUAGGACCAGGCGUGUGACGCCGCUUGUAUUACAUACUAGUAGGAAUACGUAGCUUUCUCUUGCAGAUUUGAGUCGUGCGAGGCCUUGCUGCUAUUCGUUAUUCUUUUUGUACCAUAUAUAUGUAUCUCGUACUAUGUAUACUCUGUGCCUUACAUACAUAUGAAUAAAGUUGGAUGACCUUGUCGUCCUCUCCUAUGAAAAUUUGUUUGUGGGUUCCUUGCAAAUCAAAAGCUUUUGAUACUCACUUCUGCUUCUUCAAGGAUUUUUCUUUUUAACUCCGUCAUGAAUGCAAUAGGAUGGAGGACGGGUUAGUUCGGCCCGAUUUUUUUUAUGAAACAGGAGGAGGAUUCCGUACUGAUUAUAUAUAUAUUGAAAC